AUUUUUAGAAAUAAUUCCUCAUGCUAAAAUAUUACAAGUUAUUUCCCUCAAAUUUAAAGGACCUGGCGGUGAUUUAAUCCAAUUAGAGGAACCUGUAUCAUAAACGAUACACCACGCAAUAUCUUACCUAUUCUUACAGCCUGUAUACCGUCAUUAUAAGAUAACUCUAACAAGAUUAGUUUUCCUGAUAAAAUUAUUCUUAAUAUAUUAGAUCAAGGUGCAACCUAUGAAUAGGUGCUUAUGGGUUACAAUAUAACUUUAUAUACACGAAUUUAAGAAUUAAAAACUUUUUGAAGGAGGAUUUAAUAGUAAGAUUAGUUUAAUAAGCUAAACUGAUAAUGGAUCUAAAUCAAGUACAUAUCGCCCGUCGCUUUCGUCUAAAAACGAAAUAAGUCGUAACAUAG
RNAcentral lists this ribosomal RNA (404 nucleotides) under Ctenocheles balssi. RNAcentral's name for it is "partial small subunit ribosomal RNA". Lineage: Eukaryota; Metazoa; Arthropoda; Malacostraca; Decapoda; Ctenochelidae. The record is from RNAcentral.